This 77-nucleotide transfer RNA is filed under the name Thermoleophilia bacterium. RNAcentral's name for it is "tRNA-Met". It matches the Rfam family "tRNA". From Rfam's summary of the family: Transfer RNA (tRNA) molecules are approximately 80 nucleotides in length. Lineage: Bacteria; Bacillati; Actinomycetota; Thermoleophilia. The record is from RNAcentral.
GGGCCCGUAGCUCAGCUGGUUAGAGCAGCCGACUCAUAAUCGGUAGGUCCCUGGUUCGAGUCCAGGCGGGCCCAUCA